GUCAAUCACCCCUGCCUGAAGGCAGAGGCUUGAAGAAGCCCGAUUGACCAGCCUCAGUGAUCCGAAAGGAGAACUACGUUGCAGUUAGGUUACAAGACCCGCCCCGGGGUGCUUCCUCAGC
Molecule: small RNA, 121 nt
Filed under: uncultured Sutterella sp.
Lineage: Bacteria; Pseudomonadati; Pseudomonadota; Betaproteobacteria; Burkholderiales; Sutterellaceae
Description: HNH endonuclease-associated RNA and ORF (HEARO) RNA
Rfam family: HNH endonuclease-associated RNA and ORF (HEARO) RNA
Source: RNAcentral